RNAcentral lists this ribosomal RNA (440 nucleotides) under uncultured bacterium. Its description in RNAcentral is "partial 16S ribosomal RNA". It matches the Rfam family "Bacterial small subunit ribosomal RNA", at positions 338 to 795 of the family's 1533-position model. The record is from RNAcentral.
CCUACGGGGGGUAGCAGUGGGGAAUAUUGCACAAUGGGCGAAACCCUGAUGCAGCGACGCCGCGUGAGUGAUGAAGUCUUUCGGUAUGUAAAGCACUAUCAGCAGGGAAGAAAAUGCAGGUACCAGAUUAAGACGCCGCGGCGAACUACGUGCCAGCAACCGCGGGAAUACGUAGGGGGCAAGCGUUAUCCGGUUUUACGGGGUGGAAAGGGAGCGGAGACGGCAGCACAAGUCUGGAGUGAAAUGCCCGGGCUUAACCCCGGAAUUGCUUUGGAAACUGUUCAGCUAGAGUGCAGGAGAGGUAAGUGGAAUUCCUAGUGUAGCGGUGAAAUGCGUAGAUAUUAGGAGGAACACCAGUGGCGAAGGCGGCUUACUGGAAUGUAACUGACGUUGAGGCUCGAAAGCGUGGGGAGCAAACAGGAUUAGAUACCCUUGUAGUC